UCCAAAUCGAAACGUGUGUUUAUUUCAAGGCUGUAGUUUUGUGGGAUUUCAACGACACCACAUCUAGAAACAGAAAUCAUAUUUAACACGGAGCACAAUGCACAGAACAGUCUAUCGGCACUAACAGAUUUGACUGGGGCAAACCUUCCUCCCUGAAGUAACCCACGACGUAUGAACUUAGAUUUCGCAAAGUAAAACAUGCCAUUUUCUACCAGUUCACCAGGCCAGUCUUGUCUCCUUGGUCUUCGUUUUGGAUUAAAGUUCAAUGGUUUAACGGUCCCAUCUGAAAAUAAUCCGUGUCGCAAAUGAACACUAUUGUUAAUAUUGUACAUCCGUCGUAAGCUAGGAAAUGGUUUACAGAGUUUCAACAUUGACGACUGAAAUGAAGCAAUCUAUUUCUUUAAUUCUGCAUGAAGAACGUACAAGCCAGUCGAUUUUUCUUCCCUGCAUGAAAAACGUCUCACAAAGAACAAAUGCGCUUUCAUAUUUACGAAAUCAUGUUGCCCAUCGUAAUUUAUCGGUGGUUAUUUUAGCAACUGCAUAACUGACUUGCAAGUCCCAAACUUUUACACGAACAUUUCACAAAAACAUUACACACAGUAAAAAUUUACAGUUCUGUCAAAUUCAUGAAAGGGCGGAAACAUCUUAAACCAAUACCUACAUGUACCAUCUGUAACAGCGUGCAUUACAUAAGAUGCUCUGCAUGUAGACUAUGAUUAAAAUGAAUCACAGGGCAAAGGCUACAAAUUGCAAGGCAGAACAACGAAUUGUAAAGGGAAAGAAAGAUAUCACGUUUGCAGGAUACGAAAAUAACUAGGCCUAAUCCUGGGGAACUAAACUUAUACCUGUAAUCACAUAUACUCUGAAAAUAUAUUUAAUGUGUGUUCCUUUUUCUCUGUAAGGAAAUGCUUUUUCAGUCUUCAUGAUCAAUUUCUUCAAAACUUCUUACUGUAUGAUAAAUUCUGUAGUCCUGGCCACAUUAAUUGACACUGGCUUUUUGCCUUAGAUGGAGAGGGUAUUAAACACUCACAUCAGUGGUGAUUUUGUUCUAGUUUUAUUUGCCAGCAAGAUUUUGGAGCCAACUAAAUUGGUCAUUAAGUUGUUCUCCUAGCUACGCAACAUAAUACAGUUACAGAACUAUUGCAGGUCCAGCCUUUCUACAGUCGAAGCGGUUGAGAGGAUAUCAUAUAGCAGUUUUGGAAAUAUGAAAGAAUCCGUGCACCACUGUUGUGCCUGAAGCAGUACUGUAUGGAGAUGAUAAUACUUACCACAUGUGAUACCAACUUUGAAAAUGUGCAACAGUGUGGUGGUAGUGAUGGAGAGAGAGUACAACUAGUGUCACACAACUACACAACAGAAAAUGAUAGUAAAACUGACUAAUUAUAUCCAGUUUGGCUGUUCAGUCAUGGUGAAAAACUAUUUAGCACAUAAAACAAAAGCUGAGCUGAUUUGUGCACAAAGGAAAAUUAUGUGCAUUCAAGGAAAGCUGAGAAGGAGGUGUCAGCAAAGAAUUACUACUUGUAUAAACAUGAUUUGCAUUAUUCCAUUUUCACUUGAGUCAUGGAAGACUACUUUUAGUAUGCAGCAACAUUGGAGGCCAAAUAUUUGUGUUUAAAUGCUAAAAGAAAGUAAUCAGGUGCAUUGUAGGACUAAGCACACACGAAACAUGUAGAGACUAUUUCAAACAACUGAACAUAAUAUAGUUCUUUGCAUGUAUAGCUGCUUGUCUUUGGUAAAGAAACCAAGUAUGUUUGAUCUAAGGAGGUCAAUGCAAUUAGGCACUGAAUUAACAUUCCUUAUGCCAGGCCGGAAAUGACCGAUAACAGCUACAAACAUCUUAAGUCUUAUCUAUUUCAACAAAUAACUUUAGUGCCUACAUAAUACCAUUAAACAAAUUUAAAACUGUCGCAAAAUGGGCAAAAAACAAACAAUUUUAUUCAGCUCAAGACUUCCAGAAGCAU
Schistocerca serialis cubense is the source of this 1961-nucleotide long non-coding RNA. RefSeq lists it as uncharacterized. The record is from RefSeq and is a predicted model, not a curated record. Lineage: Eukaryota; Metazoa; Arthropoda; Insecta; Orthoptera; Acrididae. The transcript has 3 exons.